This 867-nucleotide long non-coding RNA is filed under the name Homo sapiens (human). Its description in RNAcentral is "HSALNT0399627". The record is from RNAcentral. Lineage: Eukaryota; Metazoa; Chordata; Mammalia; Primates; Hominidae.
CAUAAAUAAUCACGUAUGCACGAUGUAAUGAUGUGUGAUCACUUAGCCACUACUGUGUCACAGCUACCACAUGUUUAGAAGACCAGCAGUGACCAUAGAAGAAAAAAGCACCAGUGGGUUAUUUGCAAACUGAAAUGUAAAGGCAGCUACACCUUGCUUUUCCAGAGGACUGCCUUGGCAAAAAUUUUAUAAGACUCCCAGACUGCAUUCUCAUCAGGAAUAAAAAGCAUACAACUGCAAUGCCAAUGUUUGAACUCUCCACACCCGCUGAAAGACAUAAAAUAUUGUCUGCUCAUGUAGCCAAGUUUGUUGGCAGGCACAUGAAUGAAACAUCUCGCAUCAUGUUCCAUUAAAAAAUGGGGAAGUUUAAACUGGCUGCAGUUUCAUCUAUUUCUUUUUUCAAAUGUAUCCUGAACACUAUGUGCCUAGUCAUUCAUCUGCUCAGGAAAAAAUAAAACUAAAUGGCAUCCCAGAAUAGCUCCAUAAAUUUCUGCAAUCCUGCCUCCAAAUAAGGCAUACCCAUGCCCCUGUGAGAGGCUGUGAAGUCCAAGAUAAAGGUAACAUCAGGCUCAGUGUCUUGUGAGGGCUCUGGUCUCCAAUUCCAAGAUGGUGCCUUGUUCCUUCGUCCUCCAGUGGGGCAAACACUGUGUCCUCACAUGCCUAAAGGCAGAAGAGCAAAAGGGGCAGAAGAGUCACAAGCCAUGCCUGAGGGCAAUUCCAAGGCCGAAGCUAUGGAUGAGAGGGUGAUCUGACAGGGACAGCUGUCAUCAGUCAUCCUGUUGACCUUCGAGGUUAAUUCACCUGAUCUGGCUGGCUGACUGAGGGUCAUCUCCAUCCGCCCUCACUACCCCAUGGGCAUCCCUUUUG